RNAcentral lists this microRNA precursor (90 nucleotides) under Mayetiola destructor (Hessian fly). RNAcentral describes it as "mir-133 microRNA precursor family". It matches the Rfam family "mir-133 microRNA precursor family". From Rfam's summary of the family: mir-133 was first experimentally characterised in mouse and homologues have since been discovered in several other species. The record is from RNAcentral. Lineage: Eukaryota; Metazoa; Arthropoda; Insecta; Diptera; Cecidomyiidae.
AAUGCUGUGUCAUAGCUGGUUGGUUCCGGGUCAGAUCUAAAAUUUGAAUGUAUUUGGUCCCCUUCAACCAGCUGUAAACUGUCAUUGGAA